RNAcentral lists this ribosomal RNA (505 nucleotides) under uncultured bacterium. RNAcentral describes it as "partial 16S ribosomal RNA". It matches the Rfam family "Bacterial small subunit ribosomal RNA", at positions 28 to 507 of the family's 1533-position model. The record is from RNAcentral.
GACGAACGCUGGCGGCGUGCCUAAUACAUGCAAGUCGAACGCACAGUUUAUACCGUAGCUUGCUACACCAUAGACUGUGAGUUGCGAACGGGUGAGUAACGCGUAGGUAACCUGCCUGGUAGCGGGGGAUAACUAUUGGAAACGAUAGCUAAUACCGCAUAAUAUUAAUUAUUGCAUGAUAAUUAAUUGAAAGGUGCAAUUGCACCACUACCAGAUGGACCUGCGUUGUAUUAGCUAGUAGGUGAGGUAACGGCUCACCUAGGCGACGAUACAUAGCCGACCUGAGAGGGUGAUCGGCCACACUGGGACUGAGACACGGCCCAGACUCCUACGGGAGGCAGCAGUAGGGAAUCUUCGGCAAUGGACGAAAGUCUGACCGAGCAACGCCGCGUGAGUGAAGAAGGUUUUCGGAUCGUAAAGAUCUGUUGUAAGAGAAGAACGGGUGUGAGAGUGGAAAGUUCACACUGUGACGGUAGCUUACCAGAAAGGGACGGCUAACUACGUG